RNAcentral lists this ribosomal RNA (254 nucleotides) under uncultured bacterium. Its description in RNAcentral is "partial 16S ribosomal RNA". It matches the Rfam family "Bacterial small subunit ribosomal RNA", at positions 524 to 776 of the family's 1533-position model. The record is from RNAcentral.
UACGGGGGGGGCAAGCGUUGUUCGGAAUUACUGGGCGUAAAGGGCUCGUAGGCGGCCAACUAAGUCAUACGUGAAAUCCCUCGGCUUAACCGGGGAACUGCGUCUGAUACUGGAUGGCUUGAGUUCGGGAGAGGGAUGCGGAAUUCCAGGUGUAGCGGUGAAAUGCGUAGAUAUCAAGAGGAACACCUGCGGCGAAGGCGGGUUGCUGGGCCGACACGUGACGCUGAUGCGCGAAAGCCAGGGGAGCGAACGGG